GCUUUAAUGGGUUUUCCAUGUGUAGAUCUUCCACCACACUAUAUGGACCCUUUCAAGUUGUAUGACCCAGUAGUAGGGUAUUGUGAAUAGGAUUGAUACAAAAGAGUGGAACACUGAGUUGGACAUUCACUUAUAGUGUCAGAUGGUUACCUGAACUGCUCCUUGGACACACUGCAGACUGGCAAGCCUCAAUAUAAAGCGGCAUUGCAGAAGGAACUUGAUUUACCAGUUCGUGAUGAUGUCCCAUUGAUCAGUUUCAUUAGGAGGCUUGACCCACAAAAGGGUCUUGAUCUGAUUGUUGAGGCAAUGCCUUGGAUGAUCGAUGAAAGUGAAACGAGUAGGUGAAUGUCAAAAGAAAAAAGAUUUAUAAUUAUUCUGCCUUUCUUCA
This is a long non-coding RNA of Solanum pennellii, 388 nucleotides long. RefSeq lists it as uncharacterized. The record is from RefSeq and is a predicted model, not a curated record. Lineage: Eukaryota; Viridiplantae; Streptophyta; Magnoliopsida; Solanales; Solanaceae. The transcript is spliced from 2 exons.